This 483-nucleotide ribosomal RNA is filed under the name uncultured bacterium. Its description in RNAcentral is "partial 16S ribosomal RNA". It matches the Rfam family "Bacterial small subunit ribosomal RNA", at positions 28 to 507 of the family's 1533-position model. The record is from RNAcentral.
GACGAACGCUGGCGGCGUGCUUAACACAUGCAAGUCGAACGCUGAAGCUCAGCUUUUGUUGGGUGGAUGAGUGGCGAACGGGUGAGUAACACGUGAGUAACCUGCCCCCUUCUUUGGGAUAACGCCCGGAAACGGGUGCUAAUACUGGAUAUUCACUGGUCUUCGCAUGGGGGUUGGUGGAAAGGGUUUUUCUGGUGGGGGAUGGGCUCGCGGCCUAUCCGCUUGUUGGUGGGGUGAAGGCCUGCCAAGGCUUUGACGGGUAGCCGGGCUGAGAGGGUGACCGGGCACAGUGGGGCUGAGAUGCGGCCCAGGCUCCGACGGGAGGCGGCAGUGGGGAAUAAGGGACAAUGGGCGCAAGAGUGAUGCAGCGACGGCGCGUGAGGGAUGGAGGCCUUCGGGUUGUGAACCUCGUUCGCUCAUGGUCAAGCCGCAAAAAUGGUUGUGGUGAGGGUAGUGGGUAAAGAAGCGCCGGCUAACUACGUG